RNAcentral lists this ribosomal RNA (253 nucleotides) under uncultured bacterium. Its description in RNAcentral is "partial 16S ribosomal RNA". It matches the Rfam family "Bacterial small subunit ribosomal RNA", at positions 524 to 776 of the family's 1533-position model. The record is from RNAcentral.
AACGUAGGAGACAAACGUUAUCCGGAGUUACUGGGCGUAAAGGGCGUGUAGGUGGUUACGUAAGUCUGGCGUGAAAUUUCUCGGCUUAACCGAGGCAGGUCGUCGGAUACUGCGAGACUAGAGGACGGUAGAGGCGUGUGGAAUUCCGGGUGUAGUGGUGAAAUGCGUAGAGAUCCGGAGGAACCCCAGAGGCGAAGGCGGCGUCCUGGCUCGCAUCUGACGCUCAGACACGACAGCAUGGGGAGCGAACGGG